UAGUUGAUUUACAGUGUUUUGUCAUUUUCUACUGUGACACAGUCAUAUAUAUAUAAUAUAUACUUUUUCUCACAUCAUCCUCCAUCAUGUUCCAGCACAAGUGACUAGAUAUAGUUCCCUGGAAGAAAUUUUACUUCUCUACAGCUUCCCUAACACUUGCAAGCUAAACAAAAAUCAUAACAAUCUAUUUUCUACAACCAGAAAACCAGCUUAUUAAAAAGAACACAGAAUCAUCCAUUCUAGUAAAAUACAAAAUCCAAUCCUACCCAAGGCCUAGAGAAAUAAAAGACGUCCCACACUGAGAGCUCCCUAGGCAGUUGAGGCCAUUUCCUAGGAUUCCAGAAUCUAGGUUACUGCUGACACACCAUGUCACCUUCAUGGGUCAUGCCCCAGGCACUGUAGCAACAGCCCUCUUCCGUUGGUACAGAGCCAUCCCUUACAGGUCAUCACAAACAUUUAUAGAUGCAGACACUUGUGGAGCAAAUACACUCAGCUACCAUGGCUGCCCACCCAAAUGCCUGAGGCUCUGGCCUGACAUUACUUACUUAUGACCAUGUGACCAUCUCACAGAAGGACCCAAUGUUUUAUUAGAAGGUGAUCAUAUUUAUGCAUGAACGGGCAUAGCAUCCCUCCCCCCAUUCAAAAAAGAAUCCUCCCCUUAGAGAAUUCUUUCACAGUCACACAAUUCUUUCACAAUUAUACCUGCUUCAUAGGCAUAGUAACCAACUCAGUCCCCUGGUGGGGUUAGGGGAUGAGAUAAAGGGACAGGAGAAUAGUGCCUGGGACAUCCAAGCUAUGGCCAAUCCUAGCUAAGAAGCAGUUUACUCUGAUUCCCCAGCAAUAGAUGCCCUAGCCUCAGGCAGAACUCCCAAUAUAGACAGAUGUAGAGGUAGCAGAAGGGGCUGACUACAAAGUGGCACAAAGGGAAUGUGGGGAGGGUGUUGGAAAUACUCUGUAUCAUGACUGCAGUGGUACAUAUGUCAGAGUGAAUUUCAUGGCAUCUAAGAACAUGUAAAAACAAAUAACCCACGUCUGGGGUCCACCUACUUCAGACUGCUGCUGGGCAGGGAGGGUGGAAACAGACCUACAGGCAAAGAACAAAACCAACCCGAUCUGAACUCCAACCUCCAGAAUUAACCUGGGAGACUUUUAGCAACAGAUAUCAUCAUUUGACUAGUGAUUCCUCAUUUGUGAAACAAGAGUGGUUAACAAAGCUCAUCCUCAGGAUUGUCCCAAUGAUCAGCAGGCUUACAAAUAGUGCCUGCCAUAUGUGUAGUGCCCAAUGUUGUUCAAUCACAGCUAUUUGGGGGGUGGGGUAUUGGGGAAGACAUUCUGAAAUGAUCCAUCCACCUUGUGUAGGCUGGGAACUGCUGCAAGAGGAGAGUAGCUAUUGGAAAACUGCUGAACAACUAAGCGUUUAUAAAGUGCUUUUCUGAAAGGAAAGCUCAAGUUCAAGAUAAAGAAUGGGUUCUAUGACUUGUGGUUUACAUUUAAGACAGUAAAGUAGCAAGAGUAACAACCUUAAAGCAGUUAUAAAAAAUUUUUGUGGGCUGUACAACCACAUUUCCUGCACUCACAUCAGUUGGGAAGUGGGGCUACUUCCACCUCAGAGGAGGAGGAAAAAUGAUACUCAGCUCUUUAAGAGUGUUUAAUGUACAAGACAGUUCGUGUGUGUGUGUGUAUUUUUUUUUUUUCUGCAUCCACGCAUAUAGAAGUUCCAGGGCCAGGGAUUGGAUCCACACCACAGAAGCAUCUCAAGCCAUGGCAGCGCCAGCGCCAGAUCCUUAACCCUUCUUAACCCACCAUGGAGCUCUAUCAUUAAUCUUUUGAGAAAAUUAACUUACCCUGAUCAAACAAAGCUACUGUGUAGAAUAAUUUUUCAUACUUAAUAUUUCCUAGAGGACCUUGGCCCAAUUUUACAGUUUGGGUUAA
RNAcentral lists this long non-coding RNA (1932 nucleotides) under Sus scrofa (pig). RNAcentral's name for it is "lncRNA (ENSSSCG00015024393.1)". The record is from RNAcentral. Lineage: Eukaryota; Metazoa; Chordata; Mammalia; Artiodactyla; Suidae.